CAACUAGAAUGAAUAGUAGCAAGUAGGUGAUUCACCUGCCUUUCUCCUUCACGCUCUUGGUGUCCUUCGGCCUACCACGUUGUCGAAGAGUUUGAGACCUGUUUUGUAGGUUUGAUUUUUCUGGCUUAUAUCUUCAUCUCAUCUCUGUCAAUAUUUCACUUUUGUGUUUGUCUGUUGAUGGAUUUCUCUCAUGAUCUUGUGUUGAAAAUGGUUCGAUGAUGGUGAUGACGGAAGACCGUUUGGGUGUACGAUGGUAAACCUGAGGUCGAUGGCUUAUGGAAGGUGCUCCGAUGAUGGCGUAGUUGGAGCGUCUUUGAGGUUUACGUUGCUAAACCCUAAAUCGCUAAAUUUGGUGCGGCGUUGGCCACAAGGAAGGGCUUUUAGGAUUUUUGAUACUAAGCCCUAAAUCAUUCAUUAUAGGGCAUGCUUGUGUCGUCUCUUAGGGUUUACAAUAUAUAAUAAACCCUAAAUUUGUCAUUGGUACACACGAGACUAUGAUGAGUCUCGAAAUCAAGUCAGUAUGUUGCCAUGGCGUGGCAGCUGUGGAGGAUGGCAGGUUAUCACCUGCAACCUCUAUUGCAGCCAUGGUGGCUUGGUCCUUUUGCACUCUCUGAGCCUCACAAGUUGUUAAACGUUGUUUGGAGCUUAGUAUUUGGUUUUCUUCAUGUUGAACAAACCUAGCUGUUAGAAAUGUUCAGCCGGAUCCCACUGUGGUACAUGAGGCGGUGGAUGAGAUUAAUAUAUAUUGUAUGUAUGUGUGUUUUGUAGGCAUAUAUUCACCAAACGCUUACCGUCGUUUUGUAUGGGAGUUCAUUAGAGAUCCAGAGAGAAUCAGGUUGUUUCCUAACUUUGCAUCUUUUUGCUGGCAUGAUAAGUUUUUUAACAAGAAAAGAAAAGAAGUUACAAUAUGUUGUAACGAAUCAUUUUGAAAAAAAAAACUAUAGAAAUGUGAACACCUAUAAAUAUUUGGUCAGAGUUGGGGAAAGGGAUGGGCUGGGUAACGAGUCAAAAGAUGUACUUUUUUAUUUAGAUCUAAACGGGUCAAGUUGAAUGGAAUUUUGUCUCAUUUUCUUUGAUGAUCAAUAUAUGUUACUCCAAUAGCAAGCUAAUGUUUAGAAUAAAACGAUUCAAGUGGAGUUAAGCAUUAAAAACACACAUUUGGGCGGAUUUUGAGUUCUGACCUGUUAUUUAUUUGUUUAUUUUAUCUCUUACAAAUAGAGCAUAUCCUGAAUCAACCCAUCCAUUAGUACGUUGGCUGAAAUUGCAAUUUUCUUAUGACUAUCUUGCCUACUACUUGUAAAGAAGUGUUUCUUCAUUUUAUUUUUGGCAAUAGAAGUCGUUUGUUUUCAUAGAUAUAAUGAAUUAUUAUAAAAGUAUGACAUGUGACUUAAGACUACAAAUAUAUAAUCAUCAGUUUUGUUUAACAUGACUGAUUUUACAAUAUACACCGUGAGCCAUACUUGAAAUCAUCAAUCGGGUGAGGAUUUCAAGAUCGCUACAUCUACAACAAUUCUAGAGCAGGGGACUUACUAACGCUAUGCCUACAUAUCUAACCAGGUAUGUUUGUUCGUUGACUUUACAAAAUAAACAUGUAGGAGGCAGACUCAUAUGUGUGUGACUAUUUGGAAAAUGGAUUAGCUUGGUUGUGUUUUAGUUUAGAACUUGAUCCGGUUUUGACCCGCAACUCAACAUAUGUGGAACGCGUUUUGGUUAGCGUCUUUAGAUGUCGAGUUUUUUGAUGCAAAUUGUAUGGACAUUUCCUUCGACUCUUUGAGAACAUGAGGAACAUGGACAUUGUACCAAGAAAAUUUAGUGUUUACGUUAUCAAGGUUAUAUUAGACUGAAUACCCGCAGCUCUUUAAACCGGGUUCGGCUCUAUAUUAAUGAGACAUAGGCAUUGAAUGGUUAGCCUGCCCUUUUUUUCUAUUCCAUCUCAUUCCAUUCCGGGGUAGGCGACUAAUACUAAUCUAAUAAAUGAAAUGAAGUAGUCGUCGUCUGACCAAUCGGUUCGGACACAUGCUUUGUUGUUAUUUCCCAUUGAUAGUUUUCUUAAUUGUUGUUUGGCGUUGAUAAUAUGUUUUUUUUUCCUUUUGCAUGAAUUAGCUUACAAUUUUCCAAUUUGUUAUCAUUCAACGUUAGUUGUUAUUACUCUAUGCAGGUAUGUAUUAGUGUUUUUUUCCCAAAUUAUUGACUUAUCAUACAUGUCUUAAUGAGUUUGCAUUUUCAUUUCAGUCUUAAGUGUAUUGUAAAUUGUUAUAUUUGAGAUUUAGUAGAGGCCAAUCAAAGCUUUCUAAAUUUGUUUAAUUUUGGUUGUUAUUUUUCUACAUUGAUGCAUUUGUUUAUUGUUGGUGAAGUUUGAAGUUAUUUAUGACAAUGAUCUGGAUACUUCAGUUUUCCUAGCCCAUGGAAUCUUAAUAACUUGCCAAAAUUACAAGGGUCAAUGCCUGUGCUGUUCACCGUAACUUUGCUGGUGUUAUGGUUACCUUGGCUUUACAUAGGGAUGCUAUUUUCGUGUUUUUGUUGGUGCUUCGAAAACCAUUGCUUCUAUAUAGAAGUAUUACGAUUGGGGAGAGCCCGAAUGUUGGUAUAGUGUCCUUGGUAGUGAAGCCGAUGCUUUUGGAAGCUAGGUCCUUAUUGCAUAUCAUAGCAUUUCCUGUUGGAUAGCUAUAAUGCUAUGGCAGUUUUAGAUUUAGUUUUUGGUGUUGCUUAUUAGAACAUCAUGUUAAAUUUUAAAGUUAAAUUUGUAUUUAGUGCGUUUUUUAUAAAAUUGAUUCGCCAGAUAUUUACCGUG
This is a long non-coding RNA of Helianthus annuus (common sunflower), 2791 nucleotides long. RefSeq lists it as uncharacterized. The record is from RefSeq and is a predicted model, not a curated record. Lineage: Eukaryota; Viridiplantae; Streptophyta; Magnoliopsida; Asterales; Asteraceae. The transcript is spliced from 2 exons.